RNAcentral lists this transfer RNA (68 nucleotides) under Anomalurus pelii (Pel's scaly-tailed squirrel). RNAcentral's name for it is "tRNA-His". It matches the Rfam family "tRNA". Rfam says of the family: Transfer RNA (tRNA) molecules are approximately 80 nucleotides in length. Their secondary structure includes four short double-helical elements and three loops (D, anti-codon, and T loops). Lineage: Eukaryota; Metazoa; Chordata; Mammalia; Rodentia; Anomaluridae. The record is from RNAcentral.
GUAAAUAUAGUUUACAAAAACAUUAGACUGUGAAUCUAAAAACAGAAGCCCAAACCUUCUUAUUUACC